This 267-nucleotide ribosomal RNA is filed under the name Serratia marcescens. RNAcentral describes it as "partial 16S ribosomal RNA". It matches the Rfam family "Bacterial small subunit ribosomal RNA", at positions 473 to 739 of the family's 1533-position model. Lineage: Bacteria; Pseudomonadati; Pseudomonadota; Gammaproteobacteria; Enterobacterales; Yersiniaceae. The record is from RNAcentral.
CGUUACUCGCAGAAGAAGCACCGGCUAACUCCGUGCCAGCAGCCGCGGUAAUACGGAGGGUGCAAGCGUUAAUCGGAAUUACUGGGCGUAAAGCGCACGCACGCGGUUUGUUAAGUCAGAUGUGAAAUCCCCGGGCUCAACCUGGGAACUGCAUUUGAAACUGGCAAGCUAGAGUCUCGUAGAGGGGGGUAGAAUUCCAGGUGUAGCGGUGAAAUGCGUAGAGAUCUGGAGGAAUACCGGUGGCGAAGGCGGCCCCCUGGACGAAGA